This 247-nucleotide ribosomal RNA is filed under the name uncultured bacterium. RNAcentral's name for it is "partial 16S ribosomal RNA". It matches the Rfam family "Bacterial small subunit ribosomal RNA", at positions 86 to 334 of the family's 1533-position model. The record is from RNAcentral.
AGAUGGCGACUGGCGCACGGGUGAGUAACACGUAUCCAACCUGCCGAUAACUCGGGGAUAGCCUUUCGAAAGAAAGAUUAAUACCCGAUGGCAUAAUAGAACCGCAUGGUUUGAUUAUUAAAGAAUUUCGGUUAUCGAUGGGGAUGCGUUCCAUUAGGCAGUUGGUGGGGUAACGGCCCACCAAACCUUCGAUGGAUAGGGGUUCUGAGAGGAAGGUCCCCCACAUUGGAACUGAGACACGGUCCAA